AUAUUUUAUGAGAAUUAUUUUCCAAAAAAAUAAUUUAAUGAGAAUAAUAGCAUUAUUUUACAUCUUUUUGCAAAGCUUUUUAAUGUCAGGCUUAAUAGAUUACAGCUGGAUUCUCAUAUCUGUUUCUGCAUUCAUUCUGUUUGCUAUGUUGUUGUUUUUGAAGUAGACGAAGAAAAUUCCAGCCUCACACAGAUAUGUUGUUGGAAAAGGGAGGAAUAUUUUAAUAACCUUUUUAUGUAACUAUAGAUUUAUUCUUGGACACUGUACGAAAAUUGAACACAGGGUAAUUUUUAAAUGGUUAGUUGCAGUGCAGAAUCUAAAAGCCUAUCAGUGAAAUUUUGCACUGAGUUAUGUUAAAACCCGUUGGUCUGCCUUGCACUUUGGCUGAACAUUUUUCCCGUGGAUGAUUUUAUAACCUCCUGUGUUCAGCAUUUGGAAACUGUUGGUUCACUGAGUUAUGUAGAUCUUGCAAAUGUUAAUACAUUUCACCAUAUAAAAUAAAAAGGCUUGUGUAACAUGACCAGCAAUCUAUUUUAAAAAGCCUAGUAAGUAUUGAGAAGCUGUCAUAUAUAUGUGUAGAUGGCAGAUACGUGUUUUCCAAAAUUCUGAUUUUCACUUGAAAGCUUAAAUUUUAUCAUUGAGAACACAUACCAUUAGAUUUCCUUUAAGCGACCGUUCACUUUGUUCAUGUUUGAGAAAAUAUCUGCCAUAUACUCACAUCUGAAUAACCUGGUUUAUUCAUCUCACAACUCAAAACAAUCUCACAAUUGCUUUUCUUCAAGACAACCAUCAUAUUUUGGUAUCUCCAGAAGUACUUUGUGCACACUUUUCAUUUCUUCAUACAGAAUUUUAAAAAGACAUUUACUCAAGACUCAAGAUUUAAAAUAAAUUAUUUGUACUGCUUUAUCAGGGACAUUGAAUGAAAUUUUUUUCUGCAAGUACACGGCAAUAAAGACUACAACAACUACUCGUGCCUUUAUUCAUUCUAAUGUGCUGGUGCUUUUACCCACCGUUGCUUUUGCACCCUCAGUGAACAUGACACCACAAUGAAAGGUGUAGAGCUGAAAAUUGGAAGAAAGGAAGGAUAUCUUUGGGGAAAACUAGCUAUCUACUACAGUCCACCACUUUGGCUACCAAGUAUUCAUGCCUCGCCUUCUUCCCAAGAUGGAAGACACCCAUCCACAAGGACUGGCCUCAGGGUUCCAUGCCGUGUCUGCACUCAACUCUGGGAAUGUGUCAUUCUCUCUAUCAAGUCUUAAACUGGCUCCUUGGUGUCAGAUAACCUAUAAAUGAAAAAAGUAGGCCCCUACAUACCCAGUAUGCAAUAAUAAUUUCUAUUCAGAAAGUGAAACAAUGAGCAAGACAACUGUCACUAGUUGCUAGGAAUUAUUAAAUCCAUCAUCGCCAUCCCCAAGCUCAUCUAUUUGAAGGCAGUGGGAACCUGCUUAGGUGGGACUUCAAAGAGGAGUGAACACUUUAGAAGUGAGAUAACUUCUAAGGCUGCUUUUAGCUUGGGGGCAUUUGUUAAUUCUGGUUGCAGGCAGGAGGCUGAUAAUUUUGGUUUUAUAUUUUUUAAGCCUUGCUUCUAGAAGACAGAAACCAGGAGAGCUUUUGGUAGAGAUAUGGAGGAGCCUCGAAUGUGUAAUUUCCCCCCAGAAAAUUUGCAAAAGUGUGAAGUUGCUUAGGACAGAAGACAAAGUUAAGCAGAAAGCCUCAUGAAACAAAAAUUAAAAUUCAGGACCUGCCAGAAGAAGGGGAUCUGGGGAAUAUCUUAGGUUAUUAGAAAACUCUGAAGGCCAGGGGCAAAUCAAAGGGAGAAUGAGCCUUACACCAAGAUUUUCAACUCUGCCUUGAUUUAUCAUGAUUCCUGAUUGGAUUAAGUGACCACUCUUUAUUGUCCCACCAGAUGGAAGGUUGGCCUUCCUCUCUGUAGGAAGAUAUCACCAGAAGCCUGUAAAAUAUAUAACACUUGGAAAUUAAUGAAGAUUAAUGCCAAAAGAUAGGACCACAUAACCAAAAACUAAGAGGAAAAAAAGACAGAAGGAACCUAGAGAUAAUCCAGGUAAUGGAGUUAGCUGACAAGAACUCUAAAAUAACUGUCAUUUUUGUUUGAGGCAAAUUAUGGAGAAAAUAAUAAAAAG
RNAcentral lists this long non-coding RNA (2141 nucleotides) under Equus asinus (donkey). RNAcentral describes it as "lncRNA (ENSEASG00005035098.1, ENSEASG00020009250.1)". The record is from RNAcentral. Lineage: Eukaryota; Metazoa; Chordata; Mammalia; Perissodactyla; Equidae.